GACAGCUUGGCCGAGUGGUUAAGGCGAUAGACUAGAAAUCUAUUGGGUUCACCCGCGUGAGUUCAAAUCUCACAGCUGUCG
This 81-nucleotide transfer RNA is filed under the name Plasmopara halstedii. It matches the Rfam family "tRNA". From Rfam's summary of the family: Transfer RNA (tRNA) molecules are approximately 80 nucleotides in length. Their secondary structure includes four short double-helical elements and three loops (D, anti-codon, and T loops). Further hydrogen bonds mediate the characteristic L-shaped molecular structure. tRNAs have two regions of fundamental functional importance: the anti-codon, which is responsible for specific mRNA codon recognition, and the 3' end, to which the tRNAs corresponding amino acid is attached (by aminoacyl-tRNA synthetases). tRNAs cope with the degeneracy of the genetic code in two manners: having more than one tRNA (with a specific anti-codon) for a particular amino acid; and 'wobble' base-pairing, i.e. permitting non-standard base-pairing at the 3rd anti-codon position. The record is from Rfam by way of RNAcentral. Lineage: Eukaryota; Oomycota; Peronosporomycetes; Peronosporales; Peronosporaceae.